GACAGAGGGGGCAAGCGUUGCUCGGAAUUACUGGGCGUAAAGGGCGCGUAGGCGGGAUGGCCAGUCGGUCGUGAAAUCCCUCGGCUCAACCGAGGAACGUCGAUCGAUACUGCUGUUCUUGAGGAUUGCAGAGGAGACUGGAAUUCCCGGUGUAGCGGUGAAAUGUGUAGAGAUCGGGAGGAACACCGGUGGCGAAGGCGGGUCUCUGGGCAAUUCCUGACGCUGAGGCGCGAAAGCGUGGGGAGCAAACAGG
Molecule: ribosomal RNA, 253 nt
Filed under: uncultured bacterium
Lineage: Bacteria
Description: partial 16S ribosomal RNA
Rfam family: Bacterial small subunit ribosomal RNA
Source: RNAcentral